Molecule: long non-coding RNA, 1494 nt
Filed under: Pan troglodytes (chimpanzee)
Lineage: Eukaryota; Metazoa; Chordata; Mammalia; Primates; Hominidae
Description: lncRNA (ENSPTRG00000053038.1)
Source: RNAcentral
GUGAGAAUGAGCAACCCCAGACCAUCCAGGCAGCCCUGAGUCAGCAUCCAGCCCUGCCUCUGCAUGCAGAGAAGUGGUUUUCUCAAGCACUGUGGAAUAGUCAGCCCACAUCCCUAUGGAACCACCCACCUUUCCAAAAAAUCCUCCAAGCUGGUAAAGGCUGGAUUGUCAAGGAAGUCCCCCACUGUGCCUUUUUCUUUCUGGCAGCCCUCUGCUCCAUUGAUGAAGGUUCAGCCAGGAGUCCUGGGCUGCCCCUCCAUCAAGACCAAGCUGGCUCACGGUCACUUGUGACAAUAAGUAAAGCAUCCCCAUCAUCAUCAUCAACUGACAAAAACUGAUACCACCCCAGUCCCCAUGCUGGGGCCUGGGUGCUAAAGACAAGAUCUCGGCUGAGCACGCCACUGCCUGGGCCUCAGAGUGAGCUAUGCGCUUGUACUUUAUAAGAUGUAUCUCCGUUUAUCCACACCAUGGGUUAUACCAACUCAUGGGAUAAAUGCUAAUUCUUUUGGCAGUUUUUACAGUUUUAUUUAAACACAAACGUGCACAUGAGCUGUCUACUCAUUUUCUUUGCCAUGCUGCCUGGCAUUAGGGUUGGUGACUCUGAUGGCUAGCUGGGCGGCUCUUUCCAUGAUGGCUUUGUGGUUCUUGGAGGCAACAUUGUGAGCGAUGUCAGCACAGUAAGAUUUAUCGCACAUCAGCAGCACUUCCAGCUCCUUGACAUUGUGGACCAGGAACUUCCAGAAGCCACUGGGCAGCAUGUGCUUUUUUGGUUGCUCCCAUAACCAAUGUUGGGCAUCAAGAUCUGGCCUUUGAACCUUCUGUGAACCCUGUUGUCAAUACCUCUGGGUUCCCAUCAGUUACACUUAAUUCUGACAUAUCAGUCUGACUGGUGACGGAUGAACUUCUUGGUUCUCUUUUUGACGAUCUUGGACUUCACAAGGGGUCUAAGGGCGGCCAUGAUGCUGAGGAGAUGGCUGCCACCUCAUAGGCAGCACUGAGGAAGAGGAUAAAUGCUAUUAUUAAACCCAUUGUACGGAUGAGGAAACUGAGACUCCAGAGGGUGAAGUAGCUUGUAUAAGGUCAUGCCCUUAGCAAGUGCAUCUGGAUUUACAUUCUGAGCUCUUGACUAAUCUAUGUUGCCUCCAAUGGGCUCCUUCAUUAGAGACUUGUAGUAGUUAGAUUAUGUCUAAUUAUGAGUAAUAGAAAAAAACCCAAAUAACAGCAGUUUAAGCAACAUAGACGUUUACUUCUCUGUUGUGUCCAAGGCAUUCCAAGGAGCUGUCUGGGCUGGUAUGGAGCCCCAGAGUGUCAAUGAAUCAGGUUCCUUCUCUCCGUUGUUCUGUGCUGCAUUGGUUUCAUGCCUAAGGUCACCUUCUGGUCCACAGUAACUGCUGGAGCUCCAGCCAUUGCAUUUCACUCUUGCCAGCAUAAAGGAAGAAACAAAUUAACUUGUGCAUGCUUUUUCUUGAAGCAUAUUUUCUAGAAGGUUUCAAA